Molecule: small nucleolar RNA, 126 nt
Organism: Apodemus sylvaticus (European woodmouse)
Lineage: Eukaryota; Metazoa; Chordata; Mammalia; Rodentia; Muridae
Product: small nucleolar RNA SNORA17
Exons: 1
Source: RefSeq, a predicted model, not a curated record
CUUGCACUAGAGGUGUUGCAGGUGUAGCUACUAUGACACAUGUGUGUCAGUAAGGUGGCAAAGAGGAGAAAGGCAAUGCUCAGUGUUCUGACCUAUAUACAUCUGAAUGAUUAGUAUCCUAACAUU